GACGAACGCUGGCGGCGUGCUUAACACAUGCAAGUCGAGCGGAGCGGCGAACGGGUGAGUAACGCGUGAGUAACUGCCCCCCUCUCUGGGAUAAGAGUUGGAAACGGAUACUAAUACCGGAUAGUGGGGGAUGACGUGCGUCCUAUCAGCUGGUUGGUGGGGUAGUGGCUUACCAAGGCGACGACGGAUAGCCGGCCUGAGAGGGCGACCGGCCACAGUGGGUAUAGAUACGGGCCGUACGGCUACUGGCGGCAGGAGCGGAGAAUAUUGCACGAUGGGCGAAACCCUGGUGCAGCGACGUCGCGUGGGGGAUGACGGUCUUCGGGUUGGAAACCGCUUGCAGCCAUGACGCGGUAGUGGCAGAGGAAGCACCGGCUAACUACGUGCCAGCAGCCGCGGUAAUUC
This 405-nucleotide ribosomal RNA is filed under the name uncultured bacterium. Its description in RNAcentral is "partial 16S ribosomal RNA". It matches the Rfam family "Bacterial small subunit ribosomal RNA", at positions 28 to 526 of the family's 1533-position model. The record is from RNAcentral.